This 289-nucleotide unclassified non-coding RNA is filed under the name fungal sp. Its description in RNAcentral is "partial contains 5.8S ribosomal RNA, internal transcribed spacer 2, and large subunit ribosomal RNA". The stretch from base 1 to 71 matches the Rfam family "5.8S ribosomal RNA", at positions 84 to 154 of the family's 154-position model. The record is from RNAcentral. Lineage: Eukaryota; Fungi. RNAcentral also lists the same sequence under 2 other names.
GUGAGUCAUCGAAUCUUUGAACGCACAUUGCGCCCCUUGGUAUUCCAUGGGGCAUGCCUGUUCGAGCGUCAUUUGUACCUUCAAGCUCUGCUUGGUGUUGGGUGUUUUGUCUCGCCUCCGCGCGCAGACUCGCCUUAAAACAAUUGGCAGCCGGCGUAUUGAUUUCGGAGCGCAGUACAUCUCGCGCUUUGCACUCAUAACGACGACGUCCAAAAGUACAUUUUUACACUCUUGACCUCGGAUCAGGUAGGGAUACCCGCUGAACUUAAGCAUAUCAAUAAGCGGAGGA